This 211-nucleotide ribosomal RNA is filed under the name uncultured bacterium. RNAcentral describes it as "partial 16S ribosomal RNA". It matches the Rfam family "Bacterial small subunit ribosomal RNA", at positions 524 to 733 of the family's 1533-position model. The record is from RNAcentral.
UACGUAGGUGGCAAGCGUUGUCCGGAUUUACUGGGCGUAAAGAGCGCGCAGGCGGUCGUUCAAGUCGCGUGUGAAAGCCCCCGGCUCAACUGGGGAGGGUCACGCGAUACUGAUCGACUCGAAGGCAGGAGAGGGAAGUGGAAUUCCCGGUGUAGUGGUGAAAUGCGUAGAGAUCAGCAGGAACACCCCGUGGCGAAGGCGGCCCCCUGGG